This 229-nucleotide ribosomal RNA is filed under the name uncultured bacterium. RNAcentral describes it as "partial 16S ribosomal RNA". It matches the Rfam family "Bacterial small subunit ribosomal RNA", at positions 568 to 796 of the family's 1533-position model. The record is from RNAcentral.
CGUGUAGGCGGUUGUUUAAGUCUGAUGUGAAAGCCCUGGGCUCAACCCAGGAAGUGCAUUGGAAACUGAACAACUUGAGUACGGGAGAGGAAAGUGGAAUUCCGAGUGUAGGGGUGAAAUCCGUAGAUAUUCGGAGGAACACCAGUGGCGAAGGCGGCUUUCUGGACCGAUACUGACGCUGAGACGCGAAAGCGUGGGGAGCAAACCGGAUUAGAUACCCGAGUAGUCC